CGGACGAUUGGACGACGGGAGACUGGGAGAGGGAGCGACCGACGCCUCUUCUCUCUCCCUCCCGCAUCCUUCCUCGCCGGCCGGCGAGCGCGCACGGAGAGGGAAAAAGGCGCCGGCCGGCGAGUGGGGCGGAGACGGCAGCUGGCCCCCGCCUGCUGCGCGCCUCUUCGGCGGGCUGCGACCGCCCGUCGCCGUCGAGCCCCAGUGCCCCACCCACGGCGCCCCGCCAUUGCCGGCCACCCUGCGUGUCCCCCGUUCGACCCAUGCAGCGAGGCGCGCCGCAUAUGACCUUGAAGAUCUCUCUCUCAUGCACAGCACAGUGCACACACGAUCUCACCACACUAGUACUAGCUACUUUGAGAGUGUAGUAGGAUGAGCCAGCAAGGGAUCUGGUAUGGCGACGUGUUUCCGGUGACCAGAAGCCUCGCGGCCAAGCCCAUCGCGCCGCGGGACGCGGCGACUUGCAGUCGGCGCGCGGAGAACCUCGUGUUGGGGAAGACGGUCAAGGGCGGCCCGGCCGCCGCCAUGGAGUCCGCGGCGAGUCGUAACGAGGAGAUGGGCGUCAUCGGACAUGACCAGUCCACGGACGCCACCGCCGAGCAUGGCGUCAACGUCUCCAAUACCCUCGUCCUCGGCGGCAGCCGCAUCGUCACUGAGUUCGUCGCCGGCCAGGUAAUCACACUGUUGCAUGAACACUGUUCGUCGUUGCCGUCUCUCCGAUUGUUCGAGCAGGAUGAUGGCGCCGCCACCCUCCGACUCCCGCAACCCUAGCUCCGUGUCGCAGACCGCCGAAGAAGUGCGCAGUGGGCGGGGGCCAGCUGCCGUCUCCGCCCCACUCGCCGGCCGGCGCCUUUUUCCCUCUCCGUGCGCGCUCGCCGGCCGGCGAGGAUGGAUGCCGGGAGGGAGAGACAAGAGGCGUCGGUCGCUCCCUCUCCCAGUCUCCCGUCGUCCAAUCGUUUGUGGAUAGAGAGGAUGGUAGGACCCACUGACAGUUGUUGCUUGAGACCUCGGGAGAGUGUUACCGGUGAUAGAUCGGAGUCAAAUUGGGAGAAGUUGAUGUCCAGGGAUUAAGAGAUCAUGCGGGAUACUAAAGGCUAGAGGACAAUGCAUGUGGUGAUGAAGAAAUCCAUAUGGUAUACAAGAGGAUUUGUGUACAUAUGGAAAGAGGAGUCGAAUUUGGAAGGGAGUCCGAAUUCGGGAAGAUUGUUUGAGAUAAGGCAAGAGAUAAGUUGGAUACUUGCAAGAGAGGGUUUCCUACGUGAGUUAGGAGUCGUAAGUUGUGUUAGAUUCGUGGGCUUUGCACAGCCUACCUCAUGUAUAAAAAGAUAGGGAGGGUGAGGCCUCCCAGUAUCGGUUUUACAGAUAUUAGAGUUGCGAGAAAGUUAGGGUUUCGAGUUUAAUUCGAGAUUUUGGUAAGGAGUGCUGUUGGUGCACUUUGUAAACACUAGUUGAUGCAAUAAAGUCAAAAAGUUUCAAUCUA
Molecule: non-coding RNA, 1480 nt
Organism: Oryza sativa Japonica Group (Japanese rice)
Lineage: Eukaryota; Viridiplantae; Streptophyta; Magnoliopsida; Poales; Poaceae
Source: RefSeq, a predicted model, not a curated record